CCUACGGGUGGCAGCAGUAGGGAAUUUUCGUCAAUGGGCGCAAGCCUGAACGAGCAAUGCCGCGUGAACGAGGAAGGUCUUCGGAUCGUAAAGUUCUGUUGAAGGGGAAAAAGAGCGGAGAGAGGAAAUGCUUUCGGAUUGAUAUUACCCUUCGAGGAAGUCACGGCUAACUACGUGCCAGCAGCCGCGGUAAUACGUAGGUGGCGAGCGUUAUCCGGACUGAGUGGGCGUAAAGGGUGCGUAGGCGGCCUGCUAAGUCUGGCGUGCAAGGUACCGGCUCACCCGGUACAGGCUCUGGAAACUGGCGGGCUAGUGAGCAGGAGAGGGCGGUGGAACUCCAUGUGUAGCGGUAAAAUGCGUAGAUAUAUGGAAGAACACCAGUGGCGAAGGCGGCCGCCUGGCCUGUGACUGACGCUGAGGCACGAAAGCGUGGGGAGCAAAUAGGAUUAGAUACCCUGGUAGUC
This 464-nucleotide ribosomal RNA is filed under the name uncultured bacterium. RNAcentral describes it as "partial 16S ribosomal RNA". It matches the Rfam family "Bacterial small subunit ribosomal RNA", at positions 338 to 795 of the family's 1533-position model. The record is from RNAcentral.